RNAcentral lists this long non-coding RNA (1339 nucleotides) under Mytilus galloprovincialis (Mediterranean mussel). The record is from RNAcentral. Lineage: Eukaryota; Metazoa; Mollusca; Bivalvia; Mytilida; Mytilidae.
UGGUCGUAACUCUAUAAAAUUUUGGUCUGCAUAUUUUUAGAUCGGGUGGUGCCACAGCUGCCGCUCAAAACAAUAUUUCAGAUACAUGUAGGUGAUUUAAAAUACAUGGUCGGUGGAAAUCCGAUAAAACGUAAGACGGCUAUGUAUUAGAAAGUUUACAGAAGCGUUUGUAAGUAUCUCAAAAUCUUGGUAUAUGAUAUGUAGUUAACGUCAAGUUUGCUUUCUUUGUGCGUCGAGAUGAGCAUUGCGUCUAACAGUACCUAAAUGUGUAUUUAGUUUUCUAGUUUGCCUUUAUUGUAUAAAGGUACAUAUAUGAAUGUGCUCAGAUAUGUAUGCUGUACAAAAAUCUAUAGAGAUCUAGCACAUAAAUACUUUUUGUUCGUUUGAACACAGUGAAUUUAGAACAUAAUGACUUUUACUUAGUGAUGGAAGCGAUAAAGCUACAUUAAGAGGUUCAUAUUGCUGUAUUGUGCAUGUAUGUGGAUCCUAUUCAGUAACACAUGUGACAAUGAUAUACUUUUAUAAGUCAAAUUGGUUCCACAAGAAUCGACUAAUCGUAUUGUUGGUACGUUAUGGCAUUAGUUAUCCCUACAUAUUUGGACUUAAGGUGAUAAAAACAAAUUAAAACUCUUUUCUUCUUUUUUUGUCUAUAAAUCUGUUAUUUUGCAUAGUUAAAGUGUAGCUCUAAUGUCUGAUUAAUUUGUUUUUUUUCGUUACCCAGAAGAUGAAUUGAACGGCGAAGGUGUAACUCUGAUUUUUUUUCUGUUGUCUUUUGAAAACUACUGUGUUUGUUUUUUGGGUUUGUUUUUUUUGUUUUUUUUUUUUGCAGGAGGUUGUCAAUUAGUUAUAAACUCGUGAGUCUUAACAUCUCUGCUGUAUCGUUCACUUCCUUACUUUUGAAAAUGAAAAUCGAAAUGAAAUGACAAACGAUAUAACCUACUUAAACCUCUUCCUUGUUUUCUUGCCCGUAAAAUCAAUUGUAGUACGUUUAAUUACUGUUGAAUUUUAUUACAUUCCAUUUCGAAGUUAAAAAAAGAAAAAUGAUCAUAUCCAGAUAUUAAUUCGGCUGAAAACGAUCAAACUUUAUUGUAAAAUCAUAACGCCUCAUUAACCGAGAUGUCAUUUGGGGAAAUAUGUCCUGAAUAAAAUGGGUGCUACAGAGCUGAUUGUUUUUCGCAAAGACUUGUUUUGUCAGGCAAAAUUUAGAUAUUUUGAAAAAAAGGUUUAAUAAUGAUAGUAAAAACAUGUUUUCAAGUUUUUUAGAUGUUUUUGAAUAUCUUAUUUUUUUGUAGAAGAACGAAAUUAUUUUCUUAGAUCAUUUUUAUAAGGAAUACGUUGG